UAUAUAUUAGAGAUAAUAUAUAGUACCGACUAUGUCNNNUAAAGUUCUAGAUAGAAAAAUGAUAAUGACAAUUUUCUAUCUAUAUGUCUUGACCAAAUCUUGUGCCAGCAGUCGCGGCAACACAAGGGAGACUAGNGUUAUUCAUCUUUAUUAGGUUUAAAG
This 162-nucleotide ribosomal RNA is filed under the name Macrophomina phaseolina. RNAcentral's name for it is "partial 12S small subunit ribosomal RNA". Lineage: Eukaryota; Fungi; Ascomycota; Dothideomycetes; Botryosphaeriales; Botryosphaeriaceae. The record is from RNAcentral.